CUAAAGAGCUAAGUCAGUCACCUCGAAAAGGCUAAGCGGUCAUGUGUUAAGCCGCGUUUCAUUCGACUCAUUAAUUAAAUUAGAAAAUAAAUAGACCGCGUUAUACAGUUAAUCCUUGCGUUAUUAGGGCGUACCACAGUAUACGUAUGCGUAAUAGAGCGAACUGAAACGCGAAAAAUGCUGUGAUUAUAAGUUCUGCAAGACAAGUCCUGUAAAGGAACUUCUCGGUGGAACCUAAUUUUGAACCGUAAUUCAAAUGUAAUUUUUUGAAGUGAAACUUCUUUAGGCGCAUGAGGGUAACAUUUUUACGGAACGUCACGGAGAUGCGCAGCGUUUUCGUCGAAGAGAGGGAUUGAGGCCGAUUGAGAGAGAAUGAGAAUGGUGAAUUACCUAUAAGUGAGAGGCCAAAACGUUUGCGCAUAUAACGAACCAAACAUUUUUCCUUGUAUUCAUUCAUAAUAUAUUGAAAAUCAUAGCUAAGGUGAUAAUAGCAGUAGUAAGUUAAACCAUUAUGUUUAUGAUUCUACUAGCGGACCUGACGUUAUCCUGCAAACGUCAAACAACUAAUUCUUGUCCUUGGACAUAGGCCUCCUCUAACAGCUUCCACUCUUCUCUGUGUCUAGCUUUAUGUAGCCAUAUAGGGCCAGCUGCUCUACUAAUAUCAUCUUGCCAUCUUUUUAUUUGUCUUUCUCGUUUUUUUCUCUCGGCCAAUAUAAUUGAUUAAAUAUAAACAAAAGACUACAGAAAUCCUUAUAUUAGGAUUGGAGAAAGAUAGACGACGGAAAGAUUAUUAAGGACAAGAGAAGAUGGACGGAACACACCUUGAGAGGAGCUGAGAAGUUUGGCAAGGUUUGAUCAAGAGUGAGGCCAGAAACAGCAGAAUGGAAGGAUCUGAAGAAGGCCUUGGUCGGGGUCGACAAACGGAAUGAAAGAAAAAGGAAUUUGUCCGAAAUAAAGGCUAUAUUUAAAAAUAUAAA
Molecule: long non-coding RNA, 977 nt
Organism: Pieris napi
Lineage: Eukaryota; Metazoa; Arthropoda; Insecta; Lepidoptera; Pieridae
Exons: 3
Source: RefSeq, a predicted model, not a curated record